GAAAUGCGAUAAGUAAUGUGAAUUGCAGAAUUCAGUGAAUCAUCGAAUCUUUGAACGCACAUUGCGCCCGCCAGUAUUCUGGCGGGCAUGCCUGUUCGAGCGUCAUUUCAACCAUCAAGCCCCCGGGCUUGUGUUGGGGACCUGCGGCUGCCGCAGGCCCCGAAAACCAGUGGCGGGCUCGCUGUCACACCGGGCGUAGUAGAUUUUUCGUCUCGCCCAGGGCGUGCUGCGGGUCCCGGCCGUUAAAAAGCCUCUCUUUUUAACCCAAGGUUGACCUCGGAUCAGGUAGGAAGACCCGCUGAACUUAAGC
Molecule: unclassified non-coding RNA, 310 nt
Filed under: plant metagenome
Description: partial contains 5.8S ribosomal RNA, internal transcribed spacer 2, and large subunit ribosomal RNA
Rfam family: 5.8S ribosomal RNA (bases 1-105)
Source: RNAcentral